GGACUUGUAGCUCAGUGGUAGAGCGUUGUACUUAUGCGGAAAUCUCUCGUCAUGCAACGGCCGAGGGUUCGACCCCCUCCUGGUCCA
RNAcentral lists this transfer RNA (87 nucleotides) under Auricularia subglabra TFB-10046 SS5. It matches the Rfam family "tRNA". From Rfam's summary of the family: Transfer RNA (tRNA) molecules are approximately 80 nucleotides in length. Their secondary structure includes four short double-helical elements and three loops (D, anti-codon, and T loops). Lineage: Eukaryota; Fungi; Basidiomycota; Agaricomycetes; Auriculariales; Auriculariaceae. The record is from Rfam by way of RNAcentral.